UCAGAUCCCGAAACCAGUGACCCAUCCCUCCUAGCAAACCCGGGCAGCGACAGCACCAGUAUUCCCAGUCCAGACACCCUUUCCCAGUCCCAGUUGCAGCUGCAGGCGGAGUUAGAGGCGCAGGCAAAAUCGCAGUAUAACCACCCACAGCUGAAUGCACAGCUGAAGCCGCAAUAUCACCAGCAAACCAAAGGUCAAACCAAGGGUCAGAAAAAACCAUGCAAGAAAGGCUACAACGGACAGCUGGGAGCCCCCCAGGGUCAAGGCCCCUACAGAGGCAAAGAAGGAAAAUAUGGACUAAACGGUUUCCUUGGCAAUGGAUAUAGAGGUAAACUAAUU
Molecule: long non-coding RNA, 339 nt
Organism: Polyodon spathula (Mississippi paddlefish)
Lineage: Eukaryota; Metazoa; Chordata; Actinopteri; Acipenseriformes; Polyodontidae
Exons: 3
Source: RefSeq, a predicted model, not a curated record